RNAcentral lists this long non-coding RNA (1297 nucleotides) under Toxoplasma gondii VEG. Lineage: Eukaryota; Apicomplexa; Conoidasida; Eucoccidiorida; Sarcocystidae. The record is from RNAcentral.
GCGGCACAGGAGGGCGCGCUGGUGACUUUUCUCUUCGAGAGCAUAGACACACAGAUGUCUCUGGGAAGUCAGCUGGCGGAAAGAUCCCCAACAAUGAUGGUCGAAAAUUCCCGGUACUACACGGGGAAACGCUCACAAGCUCACCCGUCAGAAUCCUGAUCUAGCCCCUCCAUUCCCAUCGUACACGCUCGGCGAGUGAACGGUUGCAGUCGCUGCCAGUUCUCCGUACCAAGGCGUACAGUUGUUGUCCAUGUGUCCAUGGGUUUCCGUUCCAUUUUUGUUUGUCCUUUGCUACGGAGCAAUUCCAAAUUCCGCCCUUACUUGUUGCUUUUCUCCGUAGACUCAGAAUGCAGAGCAGCCGACCAUCGCUGACGAGUCACCUCCUCCGGGCCCGGGAUGCAAAAUUGCGGUCCGGCCCGAUACACGCUACACGGCUGUUUCCAUUCGUUCCCUUUGUUUCCCUCGACGGACUGAUGGCGGCUACCACGAAAUAUCGAGUGCCGCAAGCAGUCCUCUGGAAAGAAAAAAGGUUUAUUGAGAAAAGAGAUGGAAAAUAAUCAAGACCGGAUGCGGCGAGAGCUAGGGUUGUGAGAACCUGGUAGAGUGUAGAAAGCGGAGCGAAGCAUGCAGGUCCUCUUGGUUGUGCUCCCCGUGCAUAAAUAUUUACAUACACAAGGCCAUUCUGUAUGCCUUUCACAAAAAGUUGAGAAGCAGGCUACGUGGCACCUGAUUGGACACUCGAGAACGCAAGACCGCGACACUUCCUAUCACGUGCUACCCCCUGGUUUGGCUUUGUUUUAGGAGAAUCUCUACAGAGCGAGAGCAGUGCGUCUCUUCUGUCCCCCAGUGUUCAUCUCUUCGUGAAAGCGAAGUACGCGUGCCAGAAGAAAGGCAUCUCCCGUGGGAGUACAUAUCUGAGAAGCCAGUGGUAAAAGGUAAUACAGAUACAGAUCGAAACUAGGCAUCCGAGCGGUAGUUAAAUAACAACAAUACCAGUUAUACACCCCUCGAGUCAGAUGGGCGGAAGUACACAAAAAUACGAAGAAAGCUGUUUUAGCACCGUCGCCUUUCUUUCCGCAGCGCCCCCGUUGGUUCCGUCUGCUUUCGCCCCUCUCUUCAUUUCCUUUUCCUGGGUGAAAGCCCCUCCUUCCCACUUGGUCGUCAGAAAGCGUCCAUUCACAUGCUGCCGAUCAUCCUGAGCUCACGAUCUCGGGAGUGAAACCGGAAAUCCUGGACAAGUACACAGAGACAAGGUGCCUGUGGGCUUCCGACACCAUUGUAUAAUCUCAGUAUGCUA